Molecule: ribosomal RNA, 774 nt
Filed under: uncultured Neocallimastigales
Lineage: Eukaryota; Fungi; Neocallimastigomycota; Neocallimastigomycetes; Neocallimastigales
Description: partial large subunit ribosomal RNA
Rfam family: Eukaryotic large subunit ribosomal RNA
Source: RNAcentral
AGAGAGAGACAUGCGCGCAUAUCAAUAAGCGGAGGAAAAGAAACUAACAAGGAUUCCCCUAGUAACGGCGAGUGAAGCGGGAAGAGCUCAAAUUUGAAAUCUUAAAGGGUUUCCCUUUACGAAUUGUAGUUUAAAGAAGUGUUUUCUGUUGAGGUUUUGGUAAAAGUUCUUUGGAAUAGGACAUCAUAGAGGGUGAGAAUCCCGUAUUUGACCUUUACUUUCAACUUUGUGAUACACUUUCAAAGAGUCGGAUUGUUUGGGAAUGCAGUCCAAAAUGGGUGGUAAAUUUCAUCUAAAGCUAAAUAUUGGCGAGAGACCGAUAGCGAACAAGUACCGUGAGGGAAAGAUGAAAAGAACUUUGAAAAGAGAGUUAAACAGUACGUGAAAUUGUCAAAAGGGAAGCGUUUGACACCAGUGUUGUUUUUCUGAAAAUCAAUUAAAGAACUGUUUAUGCUAAGCUGUUUAGACUUUAUCAGCUAUCUGUUUAGUUUUGAGCUUUUCUUUAAUGCACUUUUCAGUUAACAAGUCAACAUCAAUUUCUUUUGCUGUAAAAAAGCUUGGGGAAGGUGGCUUGAGAUUCGUCCUAUGUGUUUAUAGCCUCUUGCCUAUGCAGUCGGAGAGAUUGAGGUCUGCAGCGUAGAUCCUUCGGGGCUAAAUGCAUUUGUGCUAAGUUAUAGCAUUUUAUAGACAACUUGUUGACUAUGAUUUGUCUUGUAGCUUACUCGCUUAUGUUAUUUUACCUACGCUUAGGAUGUUGACGCAUGAGAUAUACGC